This 147-nucleotide ribosomal RNA is filed under the name Klebsiella pneumoniae. RNAcentral describes it as "partial 23S ribosomal RNA". It matches the Rfam family "Bacterial large subunit ribosomal RNA", at positions 1 to 137 of the family's 2925-position model. Lineage: Bacteria; Pseudomonadati; Pseudomonadota; Gammaproteobacteria; Enterobacterales; Enterobacteriaceae. The record is from RNAcentral.
GGGUUGUGAGGUUAAGCGACUAAGCGUACACGGUGGAUGCCCUGGCAGUCAGAGGCGAUGAAGGACGUGCUAAUCUGCGAAAAGCGUCGGUAAGGUGAUAUGAACCGUUAUAGCCGGCGAUGUCCGAAUGGGGAAACCCAGUGCAAU